GCAAGCCACAACAAGAGCCACUACCUUACUCCACUCGCUGCAAUGGAUUCCAUGCGGUUCCACCACUCUCUGACAAGCCACGACAAGAGCCGCCAUCCUGCUCCACUCUCUGCAAUGGAUUCCAUGCAGCUCCACCACUCUCUGGCAAGUCCCGACAACGGACACCACUCCACUCUCCGCAACAAGCUCCACGUGGCCCUGAACGACCCCUGACGCCACUACUCUCCGUAACAAACUC
This 238-nucleotide long non-coding RNA is filed under the name Elaeis guineensis (African oil palm). RNAcentral's name for it is "long non-coding RNA (EGUI_LNC061576)". Lineage: Eukaryota; Viridiplantae; Streptophyta; Magnoliopsida; Arecales; Arecaceae. The record is from RNAcentral.